CACGUGGUACACGACAUCCAAACCCUGAAGGCGAGCCACUUUAGUGCACGGGUACGGAAGGAAAUAAACUUGUGUGGCUUGUUAAGCCACAAUAUAUACAUCCUUGCAUUCGAAUACACUAUCUCGUUUUACUUCGACUAGGCCAAUUGUGUCAUCCUUGUUAACAUGUUUCGGAUCGAUCCAACGGCAUUUGAAUACAACGACCUUUGGAGGUUUGGGGCCGCGGUAUUGUAGUUCGUAUAUCUCCUCAACCCUUCCAUAGAAGUCAUCUCCACCGCAUUCUACGAACACCCCAGAAUUU
This 301-nucleotide long non-coding RNA is filed under the name Brachypodium distachyon (stiff brome). Its description in RNAcentral is "long non-coding RNA (BDIS_LNC000671)". The record is from RNAcentral. Lineage: Eukaryota; Viridiplantae; Streptophyta; Magnoliopsida; Poales; Poaceae.